ACUAGGUAUAGUCCGACGUAAAUUAUAUAAUCUACGUCGGAUACAAUACAAGGCUAGCGUAGAUUAUAUAAUUUACGUUAGACCAUACCUAGU
RNAcentral lists this microRNA precursor (93 nucleotides) under Cajanus cajan (pigeon pea). RNAcentral's name for it is "miRNA gene-KK1_049230". Lineage: Eukaryota; Viridiplantae; Streptophyta; Magnoliopsida; Fabales; Fabaceae. The record is from RNAcentral.